AAGCUCGGACAUUGACGAAGUCCGGAAGAAGUUCGGAGUAAAGUCAUUUGUGGCCGGAAGAAGUCUAGGCUAAGAUUCGGAGAAUAAUCGAUCACUGUAGAAAAUCGGCUGAUAGUGAAGCUCAGAGAGCGUUUGGAGCAGUCCGGUAGAUGAAUGGAGGAGCCCAUUAUUGGAGAAGUCUGGAUGGUAUUAUGGAUGCUCGGACGGUCGGGGGAGUUCGAAAAGACGCCACAC
RNAcentral lists this long non-coding RNA (234 nucleotides) under Elaeis guineensis (African oil palm). RNAcentral's name for it is "long non-coding RNA (EGUI_LNC060329)". The record is from RNAcentral. Lineage: Eukaryota; Viridiplantae; Streptophyta; Magnoliopsida; Arecales; Arecaceae.